GCACAGUUCGGGAAUUGGCAUUUGUGUCCGGGUGGCAGGAAUUAACAAGCAUGAGUAACAUCGAUCUCCCUUUAAUGUUUUCUUUGACAUAAACGAGUUGCUUAAAGGAUUUACACUAUCUUAUUAGAAAUGUACCGUUUAGCACUGAUCUGUAUAUUGUACUUUUUCAUUUAUGUAUGUGUUAUAGUUUGCGAUGCAUGCAUGUGACAUAUCAAAUGAAAGGCCACAACAUUUCCGUUAAUGUUAUGUAAGUUGCAACAGGAUCAGACAUACUAUAUGUGGUAGCGAUGAGAAUAUAUGGGGAUUUGCCAUGACAUAACGACUGUAAAAUAAUUCUGACCGUCACAAACGGGCUUUUCAGGCUCAGAAAUCCAGUGACUGUGGAAAAAAUGUUUGUGAGAAUAAAAACAAGUAGACAGCAUCGUUACUUCAGAAAUUACAUUGACUUACCACGGCGUUACUCGUCACCACAGCUACUUGUCUCGGUAUGUGAUGUGGUGAUACCAUAAUUAGAACAUGGCUACACCUCCAGUCGCUGGGGCAGGGUUGCCCUCAGGACCUUUUCCAGGGCAGCAGGGCCAGGCAGCACGGGAAGUGAACACAGCCUCCCUCUGUCGCAUUGGGCAAGAAACAGUGCAGGAUAUAGUCUUCAGAACCAUGGAAAUCUUUCAGCUUUUAAGGAACAUGCAGCUGCCCAAUGGUGUGUCGUACCAUGCAAGCACACAUCAGGACAGGCUGGGAAAGCUUCAGGAACACCUCCGCCAGUUGUCAGUCCUUUUCAGGAAGCUUAGACUAGUGUACGACAAAUGCAACGAGAAUUGUGGCGGGCUGGAUCCUGUCCCUACAGAGCAACUGAUACCAUACAUGGAAGAAGAUAGCUCCAAACAUGACGAUCGCUCCACGAACCAGUUCCGAUGUGCCAGUGAAGAGAGACGGGAGGUGAUGGAGGUAAAUAAGGAGGUUGUGUGGUCCGAUGGUUAAUGAAAAGGGCUUGUAACCAGGAGGUCCCUGGUUCAAAUACCGGCUCACUGCGUGAUCCUGAGCAAGUCACUUAACCUCCUUGUGCUCCAUCUUUCAGAAGCUAAAACAGAAGAACCAACAGCUGAAGCAAAUAAUGGAUCAGCUCCGGAAUCUCAUCUGGGAAAUAAAUGCCAUGCUGGCUAUGAGAAACUGAUGUGCAAGCAGCAUCCGCGUAAUCCUCAAGAAAGCUUCUACAAGUUCAUUGCAAGUGUUUGAAUACAUAGAAGAAAUGCUCUGGUUCAAAGGAAAAUAUGUAAUUUAUAUUCAAGGAGAGACUGAUGUGUAAACAGUGACAUGAAGAGGUGUAGGCAUAUCCUUUUAUAUUGUUUUUUUCAAGCAGCACUAAGAGCAUGCGUAUAAUAUGAAGAAUGUGUAAAUCUUAGUCUGUUUCAAUAGUGGUUUUAUAUUAUGUUGGUAUAUAAAGUAUUAGAAUGUCAAUAUCAGUCUAAAGUUGUUAAACUGUUACUACUUUUAAUUAUAUUUUUGUUGUCUGUGCAAUUCCAUUAUUGUUUUUUUUUUGUUGGUUUGUUCAGGAAGUUCUACCCACCAGUCGCUACAUUUUUAAGUGCAGGAAGAAAGGUUUGCCUCAUGUUCGCACAACAUUUUGAUAAGUCGUUUUUCAUUUCCUGUACCUUUUUUUUCAGACUUUGUUUUCAACUUAGAGUAAGUAACUGGGUUCCAAAAAAAUAUAGCAUUACACGUCCCCACAUGUAGCUACAGAUGUUUAAAUAACAUAUCUGUAAUUUUUCUUAUCAGUGUUAACAUUCUGACAUCGUUUUACACUUAUAUCUUUAAAAUCUGUUUUAAAGCUAUUUUCAAAAUGGCUGUUGGGAUUUGAGAUCGGUCCUCUCUAAAUUACUGCAGGAAGAGUGAUUACAUCUAAAAAAAAACAUAAGUGCUCUGGCUAUUCUGUUCCAGCAUUAGCAUAGAUAUUGUUCCCAAAUGCACUUAUUAUUGGUGUAUUUAACACUAGAACCUUCACGGCAGUCAUUUUGACAGUUUGAGGUUUUUAAAUUUAAAUUCUGCGUGUCUGAAAGUUAUACGUUUGUCCGUUUGUGACUUUUCCUAAAUACAUGUAUUAAAUACCCUGACGGUGUUCGAAAGGCAGGAUCACGAAAAUAAAGAAGUUAUGAUCCUGCUCAUGUAGAACCGCCAAAGCAGUCAUUUUGACUGCCUUUUACAAUACAUGUUUCUAUUGUGAAUAUAACCUACAAUAUUCUAUUUGUUUUUAUAUACAAGCCUGUUGUUAUCUCUGCUGGACCUGGCAGCCAUCAAUUCCUUCAUUUUGUACAAUAAAUGCACUGGGGAAAAUAUCAUUAGGAGAGAUUUCAUCUUGAAGCUAGCCACAGCAGGCUGCUGCAGCUCAACCUGGAUUCUUUGCUGCACCGAGUGACACACGCAAGAGAAAACAUAUGUUACUUUCGUUUUAAAUUUUAAAAAAAAAUAAAAAUGUUUUUACAGUUUUGUAUGUACAUAUACCUGUUUACUCACUAGAUUAUUUUAAAAUGAUUAUUUUAUUAUAGUUUUUCAUUUUUUGAAGUAGUGCUUUAUACGUGGCAAGUUAGAAAAUAAAGCAUUUUAUGUUUAAUUAUUCAUUUAAAUACAGUGUUUCAGCUGUGCAGGUGUUUGAUAUGACGUGCUUGAAUAAAACUUUUGAGUUGUAUCCGAUAGUUUGUCUUUCAUUUUAAUACUGAUGAGGUUUAAAACGUAACCGUCAUAAUGACUGCCGGUAGUUCUAGUGUUAAUGAAAAAAGAACUGCCUUGAUGUCAUUUGGUUGUUUUCUGUUAUCUAUGAAAAGUAAAUUGAUUUGGCUAUUUGCAUUUCACUUUUACUCUUUAUUUAUGCUAGCUUGCUUUCAUUUUAUAAUAACUCUUGCGUCUGCACGUCUUUAUUCUCUAUUAACGUAUCUAAAGAGUGUUUUGCUAAAGUUGUUUCUCUCUUUCUCCUGUAUCUGUGGCUGAGAAGAGUUUUAAAGUCUAUGCUAAGCUAUCCACAGCAGGGCUUAACCUGUGUGACUGGGUCACUUGUUGCUGUGUUACCUGUUUGACAAUGUGGGCAAUAUUCCUUACACUAUCAGCGCAUUACAGCAGACAUUUUGAAAAUAGCUUUGAAAGUUAUAAGUGUAAAAAGUUGUCAGGAUGUUAACAGUGAAAAGAAAAAUGACAGGUAUAUUAUUUAAACAGUUGUAGCAACACGUGGUGACAUGUAACGCUAUAUUUUACUCUUUAAGCCAAUGUAUCCUACCACCAUAUAAUAAAUGUAUUUCCUGUGCAGCAAGUAUAACAAAUACAAUGUGUAGCAAAGAGUUUGUGGGCUCCUGCUGUGCCUUACUAUAUAGUGUGAUGGAAAGUAAAUUGCUCAGUAAAUUAUGAGACUACAGUUAUGCAAAUUAAAGUAUUUAUUAUUA
This is an RNA transcript of Acipenser ruthenus (sterlet), 3428 nucleotides long. It is a transcript of the gene named mediator of RNA polymerase II transcription subunit 30-like, with no coding region annotated. NCBI's taxonomy places the organism in Eukaryota, Metazoa, Chordata, Actinopteri, Acipenseriformes, Acipenseridae. The transcript is spliced from 6 exons. The record is from RefSeq and is a predicted model, not a curated record.